GUUAGUAUAGUUUAAACAAAACACCGGUCUUGUAAACCGAAAAUGAAUUUACUUCUACUAUC
This 62-nucleotide transfer RNA is filed under the name Epitonium scalare. RNAcentral describes it as "tRNA-Thr". Lineage: Eukaryota; Metazoa; Mollusca; Gastropoda; Epitoniidae. The record is from RNAcentral.